GGUUAAGCGACUAAGCGUACACGGUGGAUGCCCUGGCAGUCAGAGGCGAUGAAGGACGUGCUAAUCUGCGAUAAGCGUCGGUAAGGUGAUAUGAACCGUUAUAACCGGCGAUUUCCGAAUGGGGAAACCCAGUGUGAUUCGUCACACUAUCGUUAACUGAAUACAUAGGUUAACGAAGCGAACCGGGGGAACUGAAACAUCUAAGUACCCCGAGGAAAAGAAAUCAACCGAGAUUCCCCCAGUAGCGGCGAGCGAACGGGGAGCAGCCCAGAGUCUGAAUCAGCUUGUGUGUUAGUGGAACGGUCUGGAAAGUCCGACGGUACAGGGUGAUAGUCCCGUACACCAAAAUGCACAGGUUGUGAACUCGAAGAGUAGGGCGGGACACGUGGUAUCCUGUCUGAAUAUGGGGGGACCAUCCUCCAAGGCUAAAUACUCCUGACUGACCGAUAGUGAACCAGUACCGUGAGGGAAAGGCGAAAAGAACCCCGGCGAGGGGAGUGAAAAAGAACCUGAAACCGUGUACGUACAAGCAGUGGGAGCCUCUUUAUGGGGUGACUGCGUACCUUUUGUAUAAUGGGUCAGCGACUUAUAUUCUGUAGCAAGGUUAACCGUAUAGGGGAGCCGAAGGGAAACCGAGUCUUAACUGGGCGUUAAGUUGCAGGGUAUAGACCCGAAACCCGGUGAUCUAGCCAUGGGCAGGUUGAAGGUUGGGUAACACUAACUGGAGGACCGAACCGACUAAUGUUGAAAAAUUAGCGGAUGACUUGUGGCUGGGGGUGAAAGGCCAAUCAAACCGGGAGAUAGCUGGUUCUCCCCGAAAGCUAUUUAGGUAGCGCCUCGUGAAUUCAUCUUCGGGGGUAGAGCACUGUUUCGGCUAGGGGGUCAUCCCGACUUACCAACCCGAUGCAAACUGCGAAUACCGAAGAAUGUUAUCACGGGAGACACACGGCGGGUGCUAACGUCCGUCGUGAAGAGGGAAACAACCCAGACCGCCAGCUAAGGUCCCAAAGUCAUGGUUAAGUGGGAAACGAUGUGGGAAGGCACAGACAGCCAGGAUGUUGGCUUAGAAGCAGCCAUCAUUUAAAGAAAGCGUAAUAGCUCACUGGUCGAGUCGGCCUGCGCGGAAGAUGUAACGGGGCUAAACCAUGCACCGAAGCUGCGGCAGCGACACUAUGUGUUGUUGGGUAGGGGAGCGUUCUGUAAGCCGUUGAAGGUGUGCUGUGAGGCAUGCUGGAGGUAUCAGAAGUGCGAAUGCUGACAUAAGUAACGAUAAUGCGGGUGAAAAACCCGCACGCCGGAAGACCAAGGGUUCCUGUCCAACGUUAAUCGGGGCAGGGUGAGUCGACCCCUAAGGCGAGGCCGAAAGGCGUAGUCGAUGGGAAACAGGUUAAUAUUCCUGUACUUGGUGUUACUGCGAAGGGGGGACGGAGAAGGCUAUGUUAGCCGGGCGACGGUUGUCCCGGUUUAAGCAUGUAGGCGGAGGUUCCAGGUAAAUCCGGUACCUUUUUAACGCUGAGGUGUGAUGACGAGGCACUACGGUGCUGAAGUAACAAAUGCCCUGCUUCCAGGAAAAGCCUCUAAGCAUCAGGUAACACGAAAUCGUACCCCAAACCGACACAGGUGGUCAGGUAGAGAAUACCAAGGCGCUUGAGAGAACUCGGGUGAAGGAACUAGGCAAAAUGGUGCCGUAACUUCGGGAGAAGGCACGCUGAUAUGUAGGUGAAGUGAUUUACUCAUGGAGCUGAAAUCAGUCGAAGAUACCAGCUGGCUGCAACUGUUUAUUAAAAACACAGCACUGUGCAAACACGAAAGUGGACGUAUACGGUGUGACGCCUGCCCGGUGCCGGAAGGUUAAUUGAUGGGGUUAUCCGUAAGGAGAAGCUCUUGAUCGAAGCCCCGGUAAACGGCGGCCGUAACUAUAACGGUCCUAAGGUAGCGAAAUUCCUUGUCGGGUAAGUUCCGACCUGCACGAAUGGCGUAAUGAUGGCCAGGCUGUCUCCACCCGAGACUCAGUGAAAUUGAACUCGCUGUGAAGAUGCAGUGUACCCGCGGCAAGACGGAAAGACCCCGUGAACCUUUACUAUAGCUUGACACUGAACACUGGUCCUUGAUGUGUAGGAUAGGUGGGAGGCUUUGAAGUGUGGACGCCAGUCUGCAUGGAGCCAUCCUUGAAAUACCACCCUUUAAUGGCUGGUGUUCUAACGUGGACCCGUUACCCGGGUUGCGGACAGUGUCUGGUGGGUAGUUUGACUGGGGCGGUCUCCUCCUAAAGAGUAACGGAGGAGCACGAAGGUUAGCUAAUCCUGGUCGGACAUCAGGAGGUUAGUGCAAAGGCAUAAGCUAGCUUGACUGCGAGAGUGACGGCUCGAGCAGGUGCGAAAGCAGGUCUUAGUGAUCCGGUGGUUCUGAAUGGAAGGGCCAUCGCUCAACGGAUAAAAGGUACUCCGGGGAUAACAGGCUGAUACCGCCCAAGAGUUCAUAUCGACGGCGGUGUUUGGCACCUCGAUGUCGGCUCAUCACAUCCUGGGGCUGAAGUAGGUCCCAAGGGUAUGGCUGUUCGCCAUUUAAAGUGGUACGCGAGCUGGGUUUAGAACGUCGUGAGACAGUUCGGUCCCUAUCUGCCGUGGGCGCUGGAGAAUUGAGGGGGGCUGCUCCUAGUACGAGAGGACCGGAGUGGACGCAUCACUGGUGUUCGGGUUGUCAUGCCAAUGGCAUUGCCCGGUAGCUAAAUGCGGAAGAGAUAAGUGCUGAAAGCAUCUAAGCACGAAACUUGCCCCGAGAUGAGUUCUCCCUGAGACUAUAAGUCUCCUGAAGGAACGUUAAAGACGAUGACGUUGAUAGGUCGGGUGUGUAAGCGUAGCGAUACGUUGAGCUAACCGAUACUAAUGAACCGUGAGGCUUAACCUU
This 2907-nucleotide ribosomal RNA is filed under the name Citrobacter freundii. RNAcentral's name for it is "23S ribosomal RNA". It matches the Rfam family "Bacterial large subunit ribosomal RNA". The record is from RNAcentral. Lineage: Bacteria; Pseudomonadati; Pseudomonadota; Gammaproteobacteria; Enterobacterales; Enterobacteriaceae.